UACGGAGGGUGCAAACGUUGCUCGGAAUCAUUGGGCGUAAAGCGCACGUAGGCGGCCUGUUAAGUCGGAUGUGAAAGCCCCGGGCUCAACCCGGGAAGUGCAUUCGAAACUGGCGGGCUUGAAUAUGGAAGAGGGUCGCGGAAUUCCCGGUGUAGAGGUGAAAUUCGUAGAUAUCGGGAGGAACACCAGUGGCGAAGGCGGCGACCUGGGCCAAUACUGACGCUGAGGAGCGAAAGCGUGGGGAGCGAACAGG
RNAcentral lists this ribosomal RNA (253 nucleotides) under uncultured bacterium. Its description in RNAcentral is "partial 16S ribosomal RNA". It matches the Rfam family "Bacterial small subunit ribosomal RNA", at positions 524 to 776 of the family's 1533-position model. The record is from RNAcentral.